RNAcentral lists this ribosomal RNA (493 nucleotides) under uncultured bacterium. Its description in RNAcentral is "bacterial SSU rRNA". It matches the Rfam family "Bacterial small subunit ribosomal RNA", at positions 903 to 1397 of the family's 1533-position model. The record is from RNAcentral.
AAAUGAAUAGACGGGGGCCCGCACAAGCGGAGGAGCAUGUGGCUUAAUUCGAUGCAACGCGAAGAACCUUACCCAGGCUUGACAUGCAGCUGCACGCCCGGUGAAAGCCGGGUUCCUUCGAGGGUGCUGCACAGGUGCUGCAUGGCUGUCGUCAGUUCGUGCCGUGAGGUGUUUGGUUAAGUCCACCAACGAACGCAACCCUUGCGUCCAUUUGCCAGCGGGUAAUGCCGGGAACUAUGGACGGACCGCCCAUUCACAUGGGAGGAAGGUGGGGAUGACGUCAAGUCAGUAUGGCCCUUACGCCUGGGGCCGCACACGUGCUACAAUGGCCGGUACAGAGGGACGCCAAGCCGCGAGGUGGAGCAAAACCCCAAAACCGGCCCCAGUUCGGAUUGCGGUCUGCAACUCGACCGCAUGAAGCCGGAUUCGCUAGUAACGGCGCAUCAGCUACGACGCCGUGAAUACGUUCCCGGGCCUUGUACACACCGCCCGU